This 2921-nucleotide ribosomal RNA is filed under the name Escherichia coli. RNAcentral describes it as "partial 23S ribosomal RNA". It matches the Rfam family "Bacterial large subunit ribosomal RNA". The record is from RNAcentral. Lineage: Bacteria; Pseudomonadati; Pseudomonadota; Gammaproteobacteria; Enterobacterales; Enterobacteriaceae.
GUUAAGCGACUAAGCGUACACGGUGGAUGCCCUGGCAGUCAGAGGCGAUGAAGGACGUGCUAAUCUGCGAUAAGCGUCGGUAAGGUGAUAUGAACCGUUAUAACCGGCGAUUUCCGAAUGGGGAAACCCAGUGUGUUUCGACACACUAUCAUUAACUGAAUCCAUAGGUUAAUGAGGCGAACCGGGGGAACUGAAACAUCUAAGUACCCCGAGGAAAAGAAAUCAACCGAGAUUCCCCCAGUAGCGGCGAGCGAACGGGGAGCAGCCCAGAGCCUGAAUCAGUGUGUGUGUUAGUGGAAGCGUCUGGAAAGGCGCGCGAUACAGGGUGACAGCCCCGUACACAAAAAUGCACAUGCUGUGAGCUCGAUGAGUAGGGCGGGACACGUGGUAUCCUGUCUGAAUAUGGGGGGACCAUCCUCCAAGGCUAAAUACUCCUGACUGACCGAUAGUGAACCAGUACCGUGAGGGAAAGGCGAAAAGAACCCCGGCGAGGGGAGUGAAAAAGAACCUGAAACCGUGUACGUACAAGCAGUGGGAGCACGCUUAGGCGUGUGACUGCGUACCUUUUGUAUAAUGGGUCAGCGACUUAUAUUCUGUAGCAAGGUUAACCGAAUAGGGGAGCCGAAGGGAAACCGAGUCUUAACUGGGCGUUAAGUUGCAGGGUAUAGACCCGAAACCCGGUGAUCUAGCCAUGGGCAGGUUGAAGGUUGGGUAACACUAACUGGAGGACCGAACCGACUAAUGUUGAAAAAUUAGCGGAUGACUUGUGGCUGGGGGUGAAAGGCCAAUCAAACCGGGAGAUAGCUGGUUCUCCCCGAAAGCUAUUUAGGUAGCGCCUCGUGAAUUCAUCUCCGGGGGUAGAGCACUGUUUCGGCAAGGGGGUCAUCCCGACUUACCAACCCGAUGCAAACUGCGAAUACCGGAGAAUGUUAUCACGGGAGACACACGGCGGGUGCUAACGUCCGUCGUGAAGAGGGAAACAACCCAGACCGCCAGCUAAGGUCCCAAAGUCAUGGUUAAGUGGGAAACGAUGUGGGAAGGCCCAGACAGCCAGGAUGUUGGCUUAGAAGCAGCCAUCAUUUAAAGAAAGCGUAAUAGCUCACUGGUCGAGUCGGCCUGCGCGGAAGAUGUAACGGGGCUAAACCAUGCACCGAAGCUGCGGCAGCGACGCUGAUGCGUUGUUGGGUAGGGGAGCGUUCUGUAAGCCUGCGAAGGUGUGCUGUGAGGCAUGCUGGAGGUAUCAGAAGUGCGAAUGCUGACAUAAGUAACGAUAAAGCGGGUGAAAAGCCCGCUCGCCGGAAGACCAAGGGUUCCUGUCCAACGUUAAUCGGGGCAGGGUGAGUCGACCCCUAAGGCGAGGCCGAAAGGCGUAGUCGAUGGGAAACAGGUUAAUAUUCCUGUACUUGGUGUUACUGCGAAGGGGGGACGGAGAAGGCUAUGUUGGCCGGGCGACGGUUGUCCCGGUUUAAGCGUGUAGGCUGGUUUUCCAGGCAAAUCCGGAAAAUCAAGGCUGAGGCGUGAUGACGAGGCACUACGGUGCUGAAGCAACAAAUGCCCUGCUUCCAGGAAAAGCCUCUAAGCAUCAGGUAACAUCAAAUCGUACCCCAAACCGACACAGGUGGUCAGGUAGAGAAUACCAAGGCGCUUGAGAGAACUCGGGUGAAGGAACUAGGCAAAAUGGUGCCGUAACUUCGGGAGAAGGCACGCUGAUAUGUAGGUGAAGUCCCUUGCGGAUGGAGCUGAAAUCAGUCGAAGAUACCAGCUGGCUGCAACUGUUUAUUAAAAACACAGCACUGUGCAAACACGAAAGUGGACGUAUACGGUGUGACGCCUGCCCGGUGCCGGAAGGUUAAUUGAUGGGGUCAGCGCAAGCGAAGCUCUUGAUCGAAGCCCCGGUAAACGGCGGCCGUAACUAUAACGGUCCUAAGGUAGCGAAAUUCCUUGUCGGGUAAGUUCCGACCUGCACGAAUGGCGUAAUGAUGGCCAGGCUGUCUCCACCCGAGACUCAGUGAAAUUGAACUCGCUGUGAAGAUGCAGUGUACCCGCGGCAAGACGGAAAGACCCCGUGAACCUUUACUAUAGCUUGACACUGAACAUUGAGCCUUGAUGUGUAGGAUAGGUGGGAGGCUUGGAAGUGUGGACGCCAGUCUGCAUGGAGCCGACCUUGAAAUACCACCCUUUAAUGUUUGAUGUUCUAACGUUGACCCGUAAUCCGGGUUGCGGACAGUGUCUGGUGGGUAGUUUGACUGGGGCGGUCUCCUCCUAAAGAGUAACGGAGGAGCACGAAGGUUGGCUAAUCCUGGUCGGACAUCAGGAGGUUAGUGCAAUGGCAUAAGCCAGCUUGACUGCGAGCGUGACGGCGCGAGCAGGUGCGAAAGCAGGUCAUAGUGAUCCGGUGGUUCUGAAUGGAAGGGCCAUCGCUCAACGGAUAAAAGGUACUCCGGGGAUAACAGGCUGAUACCGCCCAAGAGUUCAUAUCGACGGCGGUGUUUGGCACCUCGAUGUCGGCUCAUCACAUCCUGGGGCUGAAGUAGGUCCCAAGGGUAUGGCUGUUCGCCAUUUAAAGUGGUACGCGAGCUGGGUUUAGAACGUCGUGAGACAGUUCGGUCCCUAUCUGCCGUGGGCGCUGGAGAACUGAGGGGGGCUGCUCCUAGUACGAGAGGACCGGAGUGGACGCAUCACUGGUGUUCGGGUUGUCAUGCCAAUGGCACUGCCCGGUAGCUAAAUGCGGAAGAGAUAAGUGCUGAAAGCAUCUAAGCACGAAACUUGCCCCGAGAUGAGUUCUCCCUGACCCUUUAAGGGUCCUGAAGGAACGUUGAAGACGACGACGUUGAUAGGCCGGGUGUGUAAGCGCAGCGAUGCGUUGAGCUAACCGGUACUAAUGAACCGUGAGGCUUAACCUUACAACGCCGAAGGUGUUU